ACCUUGUUUGGUUUCCUCUUUGCUUAUGGACGUGGCGUGUGGAAGCACGGAGCAAACAGCGCCAUGUGCCCCGAGGGAGAGCGGCUGUGUGAGCCCUGCUCAGUGGUCCCAGCGGUGUCGUGCUGCCAUCGCGGUGGAUUCCGUUCAGAACAAACCCCAAACAUGUAGGAAAACUCUAGAAUGCCAGAAGUUAUGGAAUCCUUGCUCCAUCUCAAGAAGAGGACCAUGAUCUGAAUAGUUACAGAAGAGUUUUCUUGUCCUGCUGCUUUUACCGUGAACAGCAAGUCAUCAACAAAUCUGUGGUGAAAGUUCCGAUAUUUCAAAGGACGUAUAAUCUGCUGUGCUUUUCAGAAUCCCGAAAUAGCUACAGAAGAAUUAAUAAAGGCAUUACCCCAGUGGUUUUCCUGUAACUAACCGUGAUGAUGGCUUACCCAAGUUCCCAGUAUUGUUCUGUGUCUUGGAACUGCAGGUUUUCCACAAAAGAAAAUCUGGUUGUGUCAAGAGCAACUUCAUCAAGCCAUAAUAAGUGCUGCUCACCCAGAACCUUGAAUAUUUAGUUGCGUAGUCUCUGAGAGCCGUGGUGUUUGCAGUAUGAUCGUGAAUAGACGGCUGUGCAGAUCAUUUUCAGGCAUGAGUGGAAACUCUCAUGGUUCAGACUUGUCUUGACAUUGAACGGGGCAGGUGUGUCCACAUAAGGUGCAACAGAGAGGAUUUGCAUGCUGGCUUGCUGAAGUGACAGAAUUGUGCAAAAUAACUGCAGUGGUCUGGCAAGCUUCAGGAAGCAGAUUAUUCAUGUUGUUAACAUGAGGCGUUUCAGUCAGUUGGGGACACAAAUCAUUCAGCUGCAGCUUUUACCUCCUAAUUCACUGUGCAUGUAACAAACCCACGACCGUCUCACCAACUGAUGCACUUUUUCACUCUGUUAACUCCAUCGAUUUCACUCAUCUCACGGAGAGCACGUUGAGGAGGAAGGAGACCAAUGGUUUUCAUUGCUAAAUCUUCGAGAAAAAAAUCAGAGGAGCGACUGGAAAACAUCUUCCAUGGAAAAGAGGAAAGAUGCUAAGGGACAGGAUGUAUCCUCCUUGACACAGAGUGGUCAAAGAGCCAGCUUUCUCCCCUCUCUAAAGAGUUCUCAGAUAACUGUCUAGGAAAGUGCAGUCUCCCCAGCUGUUAACAGCAGGAUAUAUUGCAGCACUCUAGACUGCUGCUGCCAUGUCAUCUCAGCGCCUCCAGGGUCAGCUGAGUGCAUUAAAUUAACAGUUUUCCCAGGCAAGGCAAAAUGUCUGUGAACAGAAUGGUGCAGCAUAAUAAUGGCAUACGUACCUGCUUCAACAUUAAAUGUUUUGGUAAGAGCAGGAACCAUUGAAGUGAUUCUGACUUGCAUGACUUAGUGCCAAACACUCGUUAUCACACAGAAGUCGCGUCCCACUGUGUGUCAGUUUAGCACCACUUAACAUUUUCAUUGCUUAUUUUAGAAUCAUUGCCUUUUUUUCCAUCCUUAGUAAUUUAUGAGCUUAGAAUUAUCGAUAAUGUGAAGCUUCAUUACAAACUAUCUGGAGGAUUCUCAUCUGACUCGUCCCAUUAAAUUAUUAUUCCCAAACAUGGUUUCUAUUUAAUAAGACAUCAAUUGAGCAUCAAUAAAGUAAUAAUUAAUGAGCUGUGUCUUCAUAGAAAUACAGAUAGCUUAAAUACACACCAAAUGCAGCAUGCAGUCUGCAGGAGGGCUGUCAAAUCUCUGAGAACAUUGUCUGUUUAGUAUUUAGAAUAUGAUAAUAAACCACAACUUAAUUGCUAUGGUCUUCAGCUAAUCAUGUGACAACUGUAAAUCACACCAAACUAUGAACCUGUAAGGCAGAACUGGGAAGUAACAAAGUGUUCUACAUAGGUGAGAAGAUAGUCUCAAAACACUACAAACACCAACGGGACUUCAUGUUUCCACAAAACAUCACAAGAAUUUUGGUUAGGGUAACUGUCUGUUUUCUUCUUUAACAUGAUCUGUUGGAUUGAAAUGCUCUAUUUUUUCAUGCAGAAAAAGUUAAAACAAUUUUAAGGACUGAAACUUCUGCCUAAAAAGCAAAACAUUAAAAUAGCCUAAAGUUCAACAAUGUUGUUUUGGUCUCUUGUUCUAACAAUCUAUCACUCUAAAGGACAAGCUCCACCAGAUGUUUAUAUUCAGAAAGAAGUGACGCUACUUCAUCCCAGAGAAUUUCAGCCCCUUAAUCCUAUUGCACCUUACAGCUCCAGGAGCCACUUCCACUUCCACACUUACAUUUCCUCAGCUUACACAAAUCCCACGAGACUUAUUGGAGGAAGAGAAAGGACAGGAGUAGAAGUUUCUCAUGGAUUAUUUUUCUCCUAAAUUUCUGGUGUUUAUUUUUUAUUUUCCUUUAUUACUCAAAUUUCAUCAAGGAUCAAACAAGAGCUUUAGACAGACAGGGUGAACAUUUUGUCAGUAUCACACUUACCUUUGUCCCAGUUCAUUAAGAAGCAUUUACUCCCUGCUCCCUCAGACCCCCACUUAUGUAGGAUUUACACAAGGGCUUUAAUUGCACAUCUCUGGAAAAAAGCCAAAAGACAUUAACCAUCCUCCAAUGACAGCUUGAUGCUUCUUAAUAUUCAUUGAAUCUCCUUUUCAUCCACGACACUUGUCUUGUCACUGCUCAUGUCCACUAUUUGGCUUCUCAAUCACACAAUCAAGGAUUAUAAGGGCAGUUGUCCUCUAGUGCAAAACACAACUUGAUGCCAACAUCACAGCCUCACUUAAACCUUUAACACCCCUUGAACUUGAGAUGUUUACAGUGCUACAGAGAUGUGCUAUUCAAACCCCAGCAUAGAGAGGUUUCAGUUUAAGAUGUUAAGAGCUGAAUGAGCCAUGAAGACUUUCUGGUCUGACCUCCUGCAAUGCAUUUUCACUCAGUCACUUCCAUCUUAAUCCCCAUAAUAUACCUGAAUCAAACACAUCUUCCCGAAAGGUUUGACCUCUUAAUCUGUCACUGAAAACUCUAUUACUCUACCACCAAUUUACACUGGUAUUAUUACCUCACACUCCACAAUUGAGAUGCCCAGUUGAGCUUCUCAGUUUGUCACUCCUACCUCCAGCCAAUGAUUUGAGCUUCUCUCUGCCACUUAGUGAUUCAAUAUUUCCUGUUUUGGUCCCACAAGGGAACUAGACACAUUAGAGGUUCUAGUAUUUCUACCAUUCAGAAUCAUGCAAGCAAUAGCAUGCGUACAUGUACAUCUCUAGUAUGUCUUCUUACCUUGAAGGACAUACCAGAAUCCAGAGACAAUCACAGCAAUCCUCUGCCGUGUUCUCUUCCUCCUAAACAGAUCCAGCUCCAUUCCUUUCUGAGACACUCUCAGGGAAAUGAUGAAAAGUUUAAAGUGGAAAGAACGUGCCCACAGCUUUAAGGGACAGCUCCAUUUUUAAAGCAACCAGUUUACCACAGACUCCAUUCCCCAUCAGUUAACCACACAAGUUUUAGAAUAUUAAUUUCUCUUCCUUAAACACAUCCACUCUGGAUUAGUUUCACCACCCUCAUUCAAUCAAAAUACUCACUAAUUCUAAUGGAUGUUUCUCUUGAGUAAGAAAGAAUACAACCUUUGGUUUCCGAGCCUUCUUUACAACAGAUUUUGUGAAAGUCAAAAUAAAUAACGUACAGCUAUUCACCUUUAGGUAGUGCAAAAACAGUCCCCAGAGUGAUAGCUUUCAGUUCAUCUCCAGUGAGAGCUGUAUAAGCUGUAAGCUGUUCUAUAAACACAGCAAUGAAUAACAAUCAGUCUCUCACUCCUCUCUGUCUCUGGUGUGACAGACCCUUAAUUAUGGCUAUUAGAUUAUUAUUUUCUCCAGAGAAUCCUGUGAGGCAAAAGCAGUGUUCUUCUCUGGACAUCAAAGGCAGAAUUAAGACCCCGCUUAGGAAAGCUCCUCAGAAACAGCUGCUGUUCAUCCCCACUAAGGAAUGCCCUAUUUGAGACCAAGUGUGCAGCUGCAGCCCAUGCAAAAACCAGUACUCUGCUUUGAAGGGAAAGAUACUCACCUGAAGCACAGAAAGCCCACCUCCUACUAAGCUCUGACAAGCUAUUCAGAUCUCUGUUAUCUUAGCCAGACUUCCGUAUCCCGCAAAGAUCACCCACUGCACCAGUGAGGCUUGCAACACAACAGCACAAAAGCAGCAGCACAAAUUAUGACUGUGUAGCAGAGAACAGUGAACUAGAAACCACCCACCUAAGGCACACUGUACCACCAGCAUCUGUUGGUGCAUAUAUCUGCUUUUUAUGUGCAAGGUUUAUUGGAAUCCUUUGGGGAUAACUCUGCAUGCUCCCACAGUUGACUAGUAGGCAGAAGAAUGUCUGCACACCAGGAGAGACCAACAAGGCAGAAUCAAGACUCACGCUGACACCCUGCAACAAAUGAUUCCUGAAUACUUUGUUUGUAGGUAACACGAAUCAAUCCUUACACAGUAAUUACUAGAAAAUUAAUGUAACUGCCUCCCAAGAGAAUUACUGGUUAAUACAAUUAUCGUCUGUGGGUACGUAAAGCAAGAUAAGUAUAGACAGCAGGCAAGAGUAUAUAUAUAUGACAACCUAUGUGGUUUAGGCUUGUUUCAGAACAUUGUAGCAACUUCUUAUAACAGCACCAGUGUAAAAAGUAAUGUCUGGCAAUUUAUCAGUUCUUAAUAAAGCACUGUGCUUAAUAGUUUAACUGCUGAAGCUGCUCUUGAUUUUGAUUCAGCUGAUUUUUGUCUGGGCUCAGCACUAGGGCUUAUCCCUGUUUCCCUGGCUCCUUCAGGUUUUGACAGUUCCAAGUUCUUACUUGAUUGGACUUAAAAUAAAUAAAUAUUAGGAACUGCUUAUGCAGCACUGCCCCAUCUGUCCGCAGCCCGUGUGCAAAAUUAAUAUUGGUUCAAGACACUAGAAAUGCAUACAUGCACAUUAAGAGCAUAGGUUCCAGGAUGAACAUUGCACUACCCAUGAAUUCCACAACCUAAAUGCACACCGUCACUCAAUUAAAUGAAACCCAAGUAGCCUCUUUGUGCCAACCGGAUAAAGUAUUUUCAGAUGAAACACAUUUGUGAAGGUAAGUUCUUUCAGGGUUUCACAGACAUGUGGUUAGUAAGCAAAAGGUAAGUGCAUUUAAAAUGACUGCCAAAAAUUAAACUGGUUCCACACCUACACAACAGCAAUUACUUAGAUGCAUUUGAAGCAGAAUAUAUUAUAUCACACAUCACAAUUGUCAAGAGCUGUCAUAAGCCAUUUUGAUAUACAAAGCACAGUCCUCAGUUACACCCUUAGACAACAAGUAAUGCUUCUUUGUGCUUCUCUGUCCAUGUAUCUCUCACAUGAGAUACAACCCUCAGCUGUGGGAGCUCAGCGCCUUCCCACCAAUUUAAGUCAGCCGAGUGGUAUUACUAAAGGUAGCUCAUGUCAUUCUGAGCACGGUUUAAAAGCUGCACAGUAUUUUUGACAGAGCUUUGUGAUUCCAGAAAUCCAGUGUCUAAAUGAAGGUCUGCUGGGAAAAGAAAGAAUAGCUGAUUUGUCACAAAAAAAAUAAAAACAAUAAUCAAUCUUCCACUGCCCAAUUCCAUUCUUAAUGAAUGAGACAAUUCAGAAAGCUAUGGGAACAUGCUUUAUUGAUUCAUUCACAAGUCACUAAAACCCACUGCUUAGGUUCCCUCCAAUAAGACAAACCGCACACUUUUGGCGUACUGCAUUGCAGGAAAAGCCGAUGGCUCCACAUCUGUUCUGCUGGAAGUCCAGAGAGACUGAACAUAGCCAAUAAAUCUAAACGCAGCACACCACUAGGUUAAUGAUAAAUGUGUGUAGAAGACAAAGAGACUUGCAUUUCCUCUUUAUUAUCCCUUCAGUUGAGCCACUGCCUUAUCUGUAAUUUAUUUACCCAAGACAGUUGGGUCCAGAUGCAUACCUGUUUUUUUCCACCGAAGUACUUGUUUUUCUCCAUUUUGCAGAUGGAUUAAAUAAGCCAGGAGGAGGCCAACCUACACGUGUGAGGUCACACAGAGAACUGUAAUCUACACUGCAGUAGAUGCCUGAAUCCAUUCAAGUUCAAGACCUAAUUUGGCAUAAAGCUAGUGUGUAGCUGUACUGCACUGUAUAUUUUAUAAACAUAUCCUUCAAUAAUCUCCUGUGCUUCUCAUGAAAGCAAUAACAAGCAGUAAGAACAGCUGAGUCUGUAUUGGGCAAGCUUUCCUAUUAAAUUCCAGCAAUACAUCUCAGCUGUGACCUGUAGCAAUUUGGGUAACCUAAUAAGGCUGACUGUCCCAAAAGAAUCAGGGAUGAUACACUAUCUACCUGCAAGAUAAGAGGAAGUACAAGAGAGCAACUUUACAGCAAGUUACACCUAGCAGAGAAAAAGUGAACCUAAAAAAAUAGUCUAAGAAAAUACAGUAAGAGAAAACACAUUAUUGAGAAUAUGACAUUUGUUCAUAUAGUCCAAUAGAUACUCACCACCAUUUCAACAUCCAUUUCCAACUAAAACAUCACAUCCACAUGUCCUGUUUAACAGAGUACGCUACACUGAGACAUCAUGUAGGGCCUCCUGGUAAUUACAGUUGGUACAAUUUUCCCAGCGCAUGUUACCUGAAGUUGGGUAUUUUAGCAGGUUCGCCCACCUCUUGCUAGAAAUCCAAACAGUCAUCUACCUUACCAUGCAAUGGCAUUUAAAGAACUCUUAAAGUCAUACCAAUACGUAUGUUUCCUUUACACAUUCAUUUAAUAAGCAUGCACAGAUCUGGUCAGGCAUAUAUUAGUCUCUACUUCAAAACUCACCUGUCCAGCUGUAUUAUGAUUUCUGUUCCCUAGUGGUUCUCAUACAAACUUACGUACAGAACGGCUUCAGAAAGUGGUCUCUGCUCUCAUAUGUCUGCUGGAUAAACAAAGCAACAAGCAAUUUAGUGGCGUACAGGAGAAUUAAAUAUUUUUAAUGCACUUCAGUGUUUCCCCUAAUUCUAAAAAUCAACCAAAAACCUUCGAUAUAAAAAUCACUUUUCCUUUAGAAAUGCCUCUCAGCAGGGUAGCGCUCACAGCCGCAUUAUCGCUGUGUGUUCCAAGCCAUCAGUAUUCAGUGCGCUAAGAAGAGAUGCUGAAUUCUGCAAUCAGAAACACAAAGUUUCAAAAAAAGAUUUCAGAAUUUAUGUGAAUAUAAAUAGCUGUACUGAAUGCUUCAAAGACUGGAAACAUUGUAGAGAUUUACACGUCAGCCUGUUUUGACAGACAAACAGACAAAAGUAUACUUUGUAAAGGAGCAGUAAGAUUUCCACUGUAACACUUCCCAUAAUUAGAUCGUAAGAGACACUGAAAUAUUUGCAUUCACGAUACAGAAGUCUCAUUUCUGCUUCCUGCCUGAGCUCCUGAACAGCACCUACUUGUCUCACCUUAACAUACAUUCACGUAAGCCCCAUGCUUCCUGCAGAUGUUCACACCCACCAUCAUCUUUCCCACCCUGCUCACUCCUCAUCAUUUAGUGGAGAGAUCCACAUUUUCCAAAGGCUUUCUUUUCUUCUGAAACAGAAGCUAAUGCUGCUUAAUGCUUAACACUAAGCAUUAAUAUACACCAAACUAAAAACGCUGAUAAAACUUUCCUCUGAAAGGAAAUGUAAUUGGAAAGAUGCUUUUCCUAACAGUGCUUCCUGUUCUUCACUCCAAAUGAAGAAGUAUUGCUUAUUGUUUUCUGUGUUCUCUCUUAGUGUGGCACAAUUCAUUUGAGCUCCAAAUCCCCCCAGAGUUCUGUGGCCAACCUCCAGUGUGUUUCCAGGAUGUAAAGGUCAGAGCUGAAGAGGACACAGAGCGCACAGAAGAAAAGCCUCAGAACCCCUUGCUUCAAGUCCAUCACUUUCACAGAUAAAAACCAGACAGCAAAGCGCUCCUCCUUUAGAGGCAAAUCAGCCAUGGUAGGAACCACUCAAACAACCUGCAACAACUGAGGAUGGGCACUCCUGAAAUAAAGGAGAGAGGAUGGCUUUCCCAGAGAACUUCUGCAUGGAAAUCUGGCUUCUGAAUUUCUUAAAUGAAAACCUUACGCUGAGAAUUCCAAACAACAUGGACUGUAAUGCUGGGCUAUCAUGCAGCAUUUGGUGACAUACCCCAGUCCACGUUCCUGGAUUCAUCCCACCCCCACACUACAAAGAUGUCUUUCCUCAGCCUGCUCUCCUGCCAGCCAUGGUCCUGACAAGGUGUUACUGCUUUGGUCUGAACAUUGGUUCAUUUUCCCUUUGCUGGCUGGUUCCAUUGCUCUUAAAAAAGCACCAUCCAGUCUCAAUCUCAGUGUUCCCUAACUGCUUUAUCCUCACUUUCACAUUUUAUACUUUUUGUAUAAUCACUUCUCAGGAACAAACUGUAAUACUACUAGUUAAUGGAACAGGAGUCAUUACUAAUAAAGCCUAUAAAAAGGAAAACCAGUAUCCCAUCAAACAUAUGUAGAGGAUGCACCUUCCAACAUUAAAGCUCUGAUUUGCAACCUGAAA
Molecule: long non-coding RNA, 8477 nt
Organism: Coturnix japonica (Japanese quail)
Lineage: Eukaryota; Metazoa; Chordata; Aves; Galliformes; Phasianidae
Source: RefSeq, a predicted model, not a curated record